RNAcentral lists this ribosomal RNA (185 nucleotides) under uncultured bacterium. RNAcentral's name for it is "partial 16S ribosomal RNA". It matches the Rfam family "Bacterial small subunit ribosomal RNA", at positions 1316 to 1500 of the family's 1533-position model. The record is from RNAcentral.
CUACAUGAAGCUGGAAUCGCUAGUAAUCGCGAAUCAGCAUGUCGCGGUGAAUACGUUCCCGGGUCUUGUACACACCGCCCGUCACACCAUGGGAGUUGGAAAUGCCCGAAGUCAGUGACCCAACCGAAAGGAGGGAGCUGCCGAAGGCAGGUUCGAUAACUGGGGUGAAGUCGUAACAAGGUAUC